AUACCCUUUGAAUACCCCUAUCUUAACAGCUUCUCCCCAAAUCAAAAAAGGAAGUUGAAACAGGGAACCCUAGCUUCUCCACCACCGCCGCAAGGACUGCCGCCGUCCGUCACUCUCAGGCACUACCAUCAUCGUCUGGUCGUCCGUGCUUCUUCCUCCUUCAAGAAUCACAGCUUCUUCUUCAUAGAGCUCGGCGCGUCAGUUUCUGGUAUUCAUCUGCUCCAUCGCGCUCCUGCCGCCGUCUGUCGGGCGCUCAGUCACCAUCGUCUUCGUCUGGUCGUCGCAGAUUCUUCCAACCCACCACCGUCUUCUGAGUUGUGUUCGUCGCCUGGCCUCUGUCUCCGUCACGAUUCUGCCCCUCUCUUCUCAGACUGCUCAGAAGAAAAACCCAUCUCCAUUCCAGUUUUCUUUUUUCGAGUUCAGAGAGCAGAAGUUCAACCAAGAAAAAAACCUUAGACUUCGACGAUGAGGCACAUGAUUUAGCUGAUUUAUUCAUCAGCAUGUAUGACUCAAAAAUUACUUUAUCACAGCUGGAGAAUGUGCAUUGCCAUGUAGAAUGGUACUUUGUGAGAUUCCACAAUCUUUUGGGACCAGCCAACCGGAGGGCAUUAUGGUAAAAGGGGAGGAAACGUGAACCGGAGGGCAUUAUGGUAAAAGAGGAGGAAAGGUGAGGGGAGAGGAUUAUGUGUGAUGAUAAACUAUUGAUAUGUUUCUUUUCAUGGACUUUUGCUUUGAUGUAUUACUUUAGUGUUUGUGAAAUUCCGGGCAUGGAUUGGAUCUAUGUGUAGUUCGAACUAGCCCUGCUUGAGCAUUUCCUUUGUAUGCUAAAUGACUGGUUUUGUUUAUCAGUUUAUAAGAGUUUAUCAAUAAAAAAUAUUAUCAGUUGGCAUCACUUUUGGCAGUCUAGCAAUACUCCGCUAUAAGGAUCAAUUUAAAGAAGCUGUCUUCUUGGCUUUUGACUCACCAUCCUGGAAGGUUAAUGGGGCUGCUGAUAAUCUUCUAUGAUCCCUUCUUGGAAGUCGGGUUCAUUAUUAUCCAAUAGAUCAGUACAAGAUCUGAAGUCAUUCUCUUCAUUUAUAAUGGCUAUUCUCUCAAGGAUAUCAGACAAAGACAACCAUACUUGUUUGUGGACUGGGAUUUUCAGAUUUGGUUUCUCAUAUUGGCUCUAUGAGUUUUGAUUCCACUGGCUUGCAUUGGCGGUAUAAUUUAAUGGCUAACAGAGUUUUGCUCUUGCUAGCUUUGGCUUCUCGGAACCACCCAAAUUCAUCAACUAGAAUCCUGAGUGAAACAGCUGGCCACUUUUUGAAGAAUUUGAAAAGUCAACUUCCUCAGACAAGGAUACUUGCAAUUUCGGCUUUGAAUACACCUUAAAGAAAUCACCGUACAA
Molecule: non-coding RNA, 1387 nt
Organism: Arachis ipaensis
Lineage: Eukaryota; Viridiplantae; Streptophyta; Magnoliopsida; Fabales; Fabaceae
Source: RefSeq, a predicted model, not a curated record